Suricata suricatta (meerkat) is the source of this 919-nucleotide long non-coding RNA. RefSeq lists it as uncharacterized. The transcript is spliced from 5 exons. NCBI's taxonomy places the organism in Eukaryota, Metazoa, Chordata, Mammalia, Carnivora, Herpestidae. The record is from RefSeq and is a predicted model, not a curated record.
CUCCUCGACUGGACCUACGGAGCCACCUAGGACGCGGCCCCGAAGACGCUGGGCUCAUCUUUCGCUGACAGUUUGCUAACUACUAAAUGGAUCACUGCCCAUCACUAUAAUGGUGAAGGAAAGAUCCAUGGUAAUGAACUUCACAGACUCCCACUUCCGGUAAAUUUCAGACCUUCCGCCCCACAGCUUGCUCGGAGGGGAAGGGGCGGGCCAGGCGAAGGUGCGGAGGCGUGAGUCCUUUUGGGCAGACGGGAAGCACUAACGUGAGUUACCAAAAGGACAAGUCUGAUAUGGAGAUUAAUUAAAACAUCAAAUCCAGAUGGGCAACAGUAGGGUCAAAACAGAGAUAAAAUAAAAUCGGAGCACGCUGGGAACAAAUGGAAGACAAGUGACAGCUGAUGGAGCAUUCCUGUCUCACUGCACUGUCCUUAAGCGUGAGAUCCUUGGGGACUGGAGAUAAUCUCACACGUGUGAAGUCUUGGUGGGAUUCAUCCACAGUGCGGCAUUUGUGAUAAUGGACCACCCUGGUCUGCCUUCAGUGACAAUCUGCCAGGCCAGUUGAGCCAGAAUGCGCCCUUACCCUGAUGCCUCCUCUUAAUGAAAAGCUCAACAAAGGAAAUAAUAUAAGAGGAGAUUUAUGGUACUGAGAACAUUUGACAUAAGUGUUUUCCUGAGUCAAGACACAGCACUCAGCUUCCCUGGAGCUGUGCUAUAGAGAACUCACAACUAAUACCUCCAUUCAGCUCCACCAGCCCGUUAAACACAACCCUCCGAUGGGGACUGUUCAGGCAAACUGGAUGAAAGAAAGAAUAUAUAACAUCACCAGUGUAGUGAUCUGAAGAACCUCACCUUGCCACCAGUUAUUUGAGAUUCAAAACUAGAGAAACAACCAAGGAAUAAAAACAGAAUGACUUUCAGA